CUCCCAGAUACUAAAGAGCAACAGCAUGGAGUAGAAUAUUGGUGUCCUGAAUUGUCAGCCAGUUCUUCUAGUCCAUUCCAGUGUCGUUGUUCAAAAAAUUUUUUUCUAAUUAAAAUUGGGGACAGUGGUACCUUUAUUGGCCAGGUGCCUACUUGGAGAUAAAGUGCAAAGAAUGAGUGGCCCCGAUGCCAGACCAGCCAUGCUUCAACAGCUUGUGGGUAAUGGAGAACUCGCCCAGGUAGUGGCUUGAUCUCUGCCUAGCUGAAGGUCUUUCCAUUGUAGACGCCCACCUUGCUGCCUACCAUCAGGGGCAGGAUGAUCACAUCCCGAAGGUGUGUGUCUUCACUACCACUGGCUUCUUUCUCCCUGGGCGGUGCCCCCUUCUUGGCCUUGCACAGGGGCUUCAGCCUCAGGCCACAGUUUGUCCCGCCACUGCACACUGUAGUGCUGUAUCAGCUCUUUGUAGGACUCGUCCAGCUGCUGGUCCAGGUCCACACCACGGUAGGCAAACUUGUGGAAAGUUCGCUGUUUCUGCUCUGCUUCCGCCAUCUUGUCAGCUCUUAGGAAAAGUCCAGUGUCCUUUUGAGAAAGCUCCUUGUAGAGUUAAAAUUCUCUGCAAAGGUAGGGUGGUGUUUUGGGUGUUGGUUCUAACAGGAUUCAGACAGGAUCUAAAAAUGACUUGGUAGAUCUUGGGCUUUUGUAGACGUCAAACUCAUUGAUGCUGGGGAUUCCCCCCUCCCUCCCCGGAGCCCUGUGACGCUUGGAAUUGGUGGUCCCUUUGCCCAGGGUCUUGCUUUCUUCCGUGGUGAACCAGGAACAGAUGAUUAGGGGGAUGGACUGCCAGCAGGUCAGUUUCACUAACAGUUGGGGUGUGGUUAGAAGGUUUCCAUUAUUCUGUGGUCUGUUUCCUGUGCUAGGUGAGCCCCAGGUGUGUCCCAGAGGGAACUGGGUGACUUCUCUGGAGACUGUUUGCCAUGACACCCCAUCAAGGACCAGGGGAAUAAAGGGGGCGCCCUUCCCCAUGCCCCUCCCCUGGUCAGGUCCCCGAUGGCCUGGGUGAGGGCGGGCCGGCUGCUCUGACACCAUGGGGAGCUGCUGUGGCUGCCUGAGCAGAGACAGCGUCCCAGACAACCACCCCACCAAGUUCAAGGUGACGAACGUGGAUGACGAGGGGGUGGAGCUGGGCGUGGGGGUGAU
RNAcentral lists this long non-coding RNA (1197 nucleotides) under Heterocephalus glaber (naked mole-rat). RNAcentral describes it as "lncRNA (ENSHGLG00100033753.1)". Lineage: Eukaryota; Metazoa; Chordata; Mammalia; Rodentia; Bathyergidae. The record is from RNAcentral.